RNAcentral lists this ribosomal RNA (336 nucleotides) under uncultured Alphaproteobacteria bacterium. RNAcentral describes it as "bacterial SSU rRNA". It matches the Rfam family "Bacterial small subunit ribosomal RNA", at positions 38 to 402 of the family's 1533-position model. Lineage: Bacteria; Pseudomonadati; Pseudomonadota; Alphaproteobacteria. The record is from RNAcentral.
GGCGGCCUUACAAACACAAGUAAGUCGAACGGACUCUUCGGCCUUAGUAGGCGACGGGUGAGUAACACGUGGGAACGUGCCUUAUGGUUCGGAAUAGCUCCUGGAAACGGGUGGUAAUGCCGAAUGUGCCCUUCGGGGGAAAGAUUUAUCGCCAUUAGAGCGGCCCGCGUCUGAUUAGCUAGUUGGUGAGGUAAAGGCUCACCAAGGCUACGAUCAGUAGCUGGUCUGAGAGGAUGACCAGCCACAUUGGGACUGAGACACGGCCCAAACUCCUACGGGAGGCAGCAGUGGGGAAUCUUGCGCAAUGGGCGAAAGCCUGACGCAGCCAUGCCGCGU